This 1159-nucleotide long non-coding RNA is filed under the name Sphaeramia orbicularis (orbiculate cardinalfish). Its description in RNAcentral is "lncRNA (ENSSORG00005006766.1)". Lineage: Eukaryota; Metazoa; Chordata; Actinopteri; Kurtiformes; Apogonidae. The record is from RNAcentral.
UCCAUCCAUCCAUCCAUCCAUCCAAAUCUCCUCUCCUCUCCUCUCCUCUCCUCUCCUCUCCUCUCCUCUCCUCUCCUCUCCUCUCCUCUCCUCUCCUCUCCUCUCCUCUCCUCUCCUCUCCUCUCCUCCAGAAUGUGCACCUGAUUUAAGUGACCCCACGUCCGUUGCCACGUACACAGCUGAAGAAAUAGGACUAGCAAAAGAUGGAGUCGUUCGAUAUUUUUCAGAUGAGGAUGGUACGAAAAAUCACACACACCCAACAAGUUUUUGACCAAGAAUUUGUCAACAUUUAAGUACAAAUCUGUUAUAAUUCUGACUGUCUGAUGUUUUCCUACAUCUGCAGGCAAUUUCUACCUUAGUUACAUUGACCCUGUGGUCAUUGGAAGACAAGCUUUCCACACUGCUGAUGACUUCAUGAAAGACGUAGGGGGCACCGUCAGGGACACCACAUGUGCUAUGAUAGAUAGUGUAGUUGAUGCUAUAAAGGAUAUAAAUACAGGAGAAACGGAUCUUAGCUACAUAGACCCUGUAGUCAUAGGCAGAAAUGUCUUCAGCGUCACUAAUGAGUUCAUGUGUGGAGUUGGAGGCUCCAUCCAGCAUGUGCUCUGUGCCAUCAUAGACACUAUUUUAGAUGUAGGAAAAGGAAUUUACCAAGGAACCACGGAUGUCAGCUUCGUUGAUCCGGUGGUAAUUGGCAGAAAAACUUUUCAUAUCAGUAAUGACGCUGUAGGAGGAAUAGCGGGUCACAUCCAGGACGUGCUCUGUGCCAUCAUAGACACUAUACUGGACAUUGUUAAAGAUAUCAUGGACGCUGUGGGAUUCAGCCCCAUGUCAAUUCUGAAGACAACAGCAGAAAUCACCACAGAACAGAUAAACAUGCUGACAGGCUACCUCUCCACAACACUGAUGGGCGAACAAGGUAUCAUGCCUGAGGUGUCAGUUGAUCCCAUGAAAGUGGUCGAAGACGCUGUGUUGGAGUUCAGCGACAAGAAAGAUUUGUUCGUGGCUUACAUGUCGAGCAUGGUUGUUGGUGAUCAAGGUGAACCUGUUACUACACCAGAUGUCAGUGUAGUAACUGAAAAAGAUGACUCUGCAGCGCCAUCAUCUGAUAUAAAUCUGGUGCAAAGGAAAGGUGAAUUCCUUCCACCUAUUGAAAAAG